This 277-nucleotide ribosomal RNA is filed under the name Rhodobiaceae bacterium. Its description in RNAcentral is "partial 16S ribosomal RNA". It matches the Rfam family "Bacterial small subunit ribosomal RNA", at positions 1 to 308 of the family's 1533-position model. The record is from RNAcentral. Lineage: Bacteria; Pseudomonadati; Pseudomonadota; Alphaproteobacteria; Hyphomicrobiales; Rhodobiaceae.
AAACUUAAGAGUUUGAUCCUGGCUCAGAAUGAACGCUGGCGGCAGGCCUAAUACAUGCAAGUCGAACGCCCCUUCGGGGGAGUGGCAGACGGGUGAGUAACGCGUGGGAACCUACCCAGGGGUUCGGAAUAACUCAGGGAAACUUGAGCUAAUACCGGAUACGCCUUGCGAGGGAAAGAUUUAUCGCCCCUGGAUGGGCCCGCGUCGGAUUAGUUUGUUGGUAGGGUAAAAGCCUACCAAGGCUACGAUCCGUAGCUGGUCUGAGAGGAUGAUCAGC